ACAAACUUGGUCAUUUAGAGGAAGUAAAAGUCGUAACAAGGUUUCCGUAGGUGAACCUGCGGAAGGAUCAUCAAUGAAAUUUUAUUGAAUUUUUUUUUAUAAAGAAGUGUUUAUUUUCUUCUUUAUAAAAAAAAAUUCUCUUAUUAUAAACGCCUUUAAUUGUGUGUGAUUGAUUUUAAUCAAUCAAUAAUUAUAAAUUUUAUACAAAUUAUUAGAUUUUUAUAAUCUAUAAAAAACAAACAACUUUUAACGAUGGAUCUCUUGGCUCUCGCAUCGAUGAAGAACGCAGC
RNAcentral lists this unclassified non-coding RNA (290 nucleotides) under uncultured fungus. RNAcentral's name for it is "partial contains small subunit ribosomal RNA, internal transcribed spacer 1, and 5.8S ribosomal RNA". The stretch from base 1 to 73 matches the Rfam family "Eukaryotic small subunit ribosomal RNA", at positions 1759 to 1831 of the family's 1831-position model. The record is from RNAcentral. Lineage: Eukaryota; Fungi.